UACAUAGGGGGCGAGCGUUAUCCGGAAUUAUUGGGCGUAAAGGGUGCGUAGGCGGCCAUUUAAGUCUGGGGUGUAAGUGCAGUGCUCAACGCUGUGAUGCUCUGGAAACUGGAUGGCUAGAGUUAGAUAGAGGCAAGUGGAAUUCCAUGUGUAGCGGUAAAAUGCGUAAAUAUAUGGAGGAACACCAGUGGCGAAGGCGGCUUGCUGGGUCUACACUGACGCUGAGGCACGAAAGCGUGGGGAGCAAACAGG
RNAcentral lists this ribosomal RNA (252 nucleotides) under uncultured bacterium. RNAcentral describes it as "partial 16S ribosomal RNA". It matches the Rfam family "Bacterial small subunit ribosomal RNA", at positions 524 to 776 of the family's 1533-position model. The record is from RNAcentral.